Molecule: ribosomal RNA, 253 nt
Filed under: uncultured bacterium
Lineage: Bacteria
Description: partial 16S ribosomal RNA
Rfam family: Bacterial small subunit ribosomal RNA
Source: RNAcentral
UACGUAGGGUGCAAGCGUUAAUCGGAAUUACUGGGCGUAAAGCGUGCGUAGGCGGUUGCGCAAGACAGGUGUGAAAUCCCCGGGCUUAACCUGGGAAUUGCACUUGUGACUGUGCGGCUGGAGUGCGGCAGAGGGGGAUGGAAUUCCGCGUGUAGCAGUGAAAUGCGUAGAUAUUCGGAAGAACACCAGUGGCGAAGGCGGCUCACUGGACUGGUAUUGACGCUGAGGUGCGAAAGCGUGGGGAGCAAACAGG